AGUCAGUGUUAGUUGCGCAAAAGCGACAGUGCGAUCAUCACAAGGAAACGUUUGUUCGAGCUCAACUCUCAGGAAAUAGUUAGUAUGUUCACGGUCAAACCUUUGGAGUCGCCUUUGGCCAAAGCUGUGGAGGCACCGAUGCACGGCAGCACGGUUGAGGUGCACCUGAACGAUGGCAGCUAUCUUCCGACCGGCGAAAAGCCUCGCAAACCAACGCACUGCGUACUGACGCCGAAGUUUGUUACGCAAGCGGAACCCAUUCACCACUUGACGGUGUACGAGGAUGACGUUUGGAUAUUGAGCUUCCCCAAGUGUGGAACUACCUGGACGCAGGAGAUGGUGUGGCUGAUCAGCCACGAUCUGGACUACCGGACAGCGUCCGAGGUGAACCUGCUCGAUCGUUCGGUAUUCCUCGAGUUUUCUGCCUUCGUGCUUAAUUACCCCGGCGAUACGAUCGAGCAGGUGGAAAAGGCAACCCGUCCGCGACACAUCCAGUGCCAUCUGCCGAUCGCACUACUGCCCAAACAGAUCUGGACCGUACGGCCGAAGCUCAUCUACUGUGCCCGCAAUCCGAAGGAUGCUUCCGUAAGCUUUUUCCACCACUAUCGCCAUCUGCACGGUUAUCGCGGGACCAUGCCGGACUUUCUCGAUGCCCUCCUAACCGAUCAGAUACUGUUCGGACCGCAGAUACCGCAUACGCUCGACUAUUGGAACGUUCGGCGAGAGAUGAACAUAUUGUUUCUUCACUUUGAAGAGAUGAAAACGAACAUGGGUGAUGUACUACGUCGUGUUUGCAGAUACUUUGGUAAAUCGUACUCCGACCAACAGCUGGCCACAUUGGAAAAUCAUCUCUCGUUCGACGUUAUGAAGAACAACAAAUCUGCAAACAACUCAUGCGUUUUGGAGCUGGUAGAAUCACUCUCCGGCAAAAAGGUGGAGAAUUUUCAAUUUAUGCGCAAAGGAAAGAUCGGUUCACAUACUGAAGAAUUGUCUGAAGAGUACAUAAAACGGUUUGAGGAAUACAUCACGAAACAUCUUGAAGGAAGCGAUUUUAGAUUCAAAUAGGUAUCCAAUUGGUUUCAAUCAGUAUAGGAAAUAGGAUUCCUAAUCAGAUAGUUUCUUCUGCGUAAGCAAUUCACUAUCCAGUUAUUAAGUGAUAGCUGGGAUGACGAUAACCACGAGCUUUGUAAUGUAGUAAACGAUGAAAAUAAUAAAACAAAAUGAAAUGUUUUGAAAAGAAAUGAAGUAAAAAAUCUUGCAAAUAAAUGGCACUCAAUCUGGCAGCACUGGACGCUACAGCGACAUGCCACCCUCAACCCCGUAACUGGAAUCGCUCGCACCCAUACAACGAUCAUGCCGCUGAAGGUUGUGAUACGAAAGCAGUAGAUAGAGAGAACGCGUUAAAAACAAGACCCUUCCCCGUUUGCUCGCCAUUCGACCGCGUAUUGUCCACGAUGACGUUCGAGUACAUCGACAUCGAAGAUCCCGUCUUUAAGGCUACCUGUCGCGAACGUAACGAGGAAGACUACGUGCUCGUGCGCUGCAACGACUACGCCAACGUACCGAUCAACCUUCCCAACUGGACGCCGGACCCGGUCUGCCUGUCGCGGCGCUUCGAGCAGAUAGGACAAACGAUCAAGGACAUGGAAGUGCGACCGGAUGACGUGUGGAUCGUAACGUACCCCAAGAGCGGAACCACCUGGACCCAGGAGCUGAUCUGGCUCGUCUGCAAUGGGCUCGACUUUCAGCAGGCAAAGGACGUCCCGCUUGAUGCACGCUUUCCCUUCAUUGAGCAAGUCUACCUCCACCGACACGAUCCCUCCGCCGAAGCAUUUCAAUCGAUCGACCUCCUCUUCCACAGCCUCUCCGGACUGCGCGACCUUCCGGAACCGUUCAAUCCGUUGCGCGAUGCACUCGCAAUGUCCUCGCCGCGCUUUAUCAAAACACACCUGCCGCCAGCCUUCCUACCGAGCGCACUGUGGACCGUUCGCCCCAAGCUUGUGUACGUGCGCCGGAAUCCCAAAUCGGUUGCCGUCUCCUACUACCACCAUUCCGUCUCCCUGCACUGCUACCGGGGUACGCUGGACCAGUUCGUGCGCUCGAUGAUGAACGAGCUGGUGUACUAUUCACCGUACCACAAGCAUCUGAUCGAGUACAGUGAGCUGCGCUACCCGAACAUGCUAUCGCUGUGCUUCGAGGACAUGAAGCGAGAUCUGCCCGGUGCCAUUCGGCAGGUUUGCCGCUUUUUCGACAAAUCGUACACGGAGGAGCAGCUGGCAGCGCUCGCCCACCAUCUUGACUUUGGCCAGAUGCGUCAAAAUACGGCCGUCAAUCGCAGACAGUGGGUCGAGUACAAUCUCCAGCAAACGAACCGGCCGGACCGGGUGAACGACAACGACAUGCAGUUCAUCCGGCGCGGUGAGACGGACGGCUGGAAGCGGGAGCUGUCGGGCGAGCUGAUCGAGGCGCUCGAUCACUGGACGUUGGACAGGGUCCCCAAGGAUAGCAAAUAUGCGGCCCUGUUUCAAUGACUUUGAAGGGAUAAACAUAUGUAAAAAAUCAAUUCUAAAUUAUAAUUGGCCAAACAUUUUAAAUAAAUCACAUUAAACCUAAAAAAUCCAUAAAAAAA
This is an RNA transcript of Anopheles gambiae (African malaria mosquito), 2629 nucleotides long. It is a transcript of the gene named luciferin sulfotransferase, with no coding region annotated. The transcript is spliced from 6 exons. The record is from RefSeq and is a predicted model, not a curated record. NCBI's taxonomy places the organism in Eukaryota, Metazoa, Arthropoda, Insecta, Diptera, Culicidae.